CACUAUUUUGCAAAAACAACACAUAUCUUAUUUAAAUUUUUGAAAAUUUAAUUCACCCCCCCUCUUAGGUUGUCUUGCUGAGCAACAAGUGGUAUCAAAGUCCAAUACUCACUUAUAUUUGAUCUAACGAUCAAGAGUUAAGAUCAAAUGGCAAUCCAAAUGAGCACAUGUCUUACCGAAUGAGUGAUAAUCGACCAACCAUCCAUCUUUAUCAAUGGAACAAAUUAUACUUAUUAGAAAGCACGCAAGCGCAUUUACAUUCAAGUAUUUGAUUAUUAACUUUAUCAAAGGCUCACACACUCCCACAAUCAAAGUAGAUGGUAAUGAUAUUUCUAAAUUCGAAAAGAAUUGGGAUGAGCAUGAUAUGAGAAUAGUAGAGUUAAAUACUAAAGUUAUGAAUGUUCUAUA
This 408-nucleotide long non-coding RNA is filed under the name Elaeis guineensis (African oil palm). Its description in RNAcentral is "long non-coding RNA (EGUI_LNC036858)". Lineage: Eukaryota; Viridiplantae; Streptophyta; Magnoliopsida; Arecales; Arecaceae. The record is from RNAcentral.